GUCACAGUUUGCCCAGACAUCUUUUUUUAAAUCCGUCAAUCCGUCACCCACACGUCAUUCUGGGGGACGAAGAGGAGGAAGCUGGACAGAUAAAUUUAUUUAUUUAUUUAUCAUUGCUGUGUUUCCUCAAUCGAGUGCAGAAAGAAGAAAAACAACACAACUGAUUUAAAAUAAAAAUAUAGAAAAUAAUCUAAUGUAAGAUUCUGAUCCGGUUUGCUUUCAGCAGGAAGGCUGUCCUCUUUCCUGUUGCUCUUUCUCUUCUAUUAGUCCAUUUGUCCAGUCUGAAUCGGUUUUGAUUCGUUUCGAGACGAUUCGGAGUCGAAUAAUUUUCUAGUGAGAGUCGCACACUUCCAAACGAACUAGACUGAGAUGAGUAUUUGAUUCUCACUAGAAAGUGAUUCGACUCUGAAUAAACUCGAAAUGAAUCAGUCAAACUGAUUCAGACUCUAUAAAAGGACUAUGAGAUGUGAUUAAGAUAUAUAUUCCAAUGUUUUGCUUUACAAUUCCAUUGUGUGUGUGUGUGUGUGUGUGUGUGUGUGCGUGCGCGCGCACGUGUGUUUUUCAGGAGAACGAGAAACUCGGACACAACAGUACAUCCUGACCAUUGGUACUGUGUACACAUCAACAUACACACACGUCUCCAUGCUGGACAUCUCAGGAGCUUUCACACAAGUCCGAAAGACGUGCCCUUCUCCAAGCUUUAAAGGAGAAGAUCCAGGGCUGUUGAAGCUGCGGUGGAACUGAGACAUCAUCAUCCACAU
This is a long non-coding RNA of Ictalurus punctatus (channel catfish), 761 nucleotides long. The record is from Ensembl. NCBI's taxonomy places the organism in Eukaryota, Metazoa, Chordata, Actinopteri, Siluriformes, Ictaluridae.